ACUUUGAUGACUCUGGAAAUCAGAAGGAGACUGAAGACUUCAUGCAGCUCUGUUCAUUUAAGUCCAAUUCCUGCACAAGUCAAAACAGCACCCUGUGGUGUGACUGACCCUCUUCAAAAAUGAAGGACAAACAGCAACUCUAAAACCAAGCCAAACUGAAUGUUCUGCCAUCACCUACUGUAUGAAUUCAGGAACUACUGAAUAUUAUCUUAACGUUUUGUCCCACUACUACUCAAGACAGUCAUCUGCACAAUCCUUACCCAGAAAAUGCAAGUGCUCUAUGAAUCCAAAGCUUCUCCAGGAACAAUUGAUGUGUACCUGCUUCACAGAAGACAAAUGGUCCAAGAGAGCAAGACCCUAAGAGCUUAAGUGGAAAACACUGAGGUGGAGUCAAGAUGGCGGCCUAGAAGGAGCAGAAGUUCAGAUCUCUGAAUACCCUUCCCUACUGAUCACAAACUGAAUGCUUCUAGGGGACUGAAAAUCAAACCUAACAAGACAAAGCCGAGGAACCCUCCUGGUGGACUCAAUUCAAAAGGUACAUUCCCCCCCCCCAAAAAAAAAGCCAGAAUCCAAGAACACUCGGGUUUAAGGGGAAGGCAGAAGAAAGGUCCCAGGAC
Molecule: long non-coding RNA, 617 nt
Filed under: Monodelphis domestica (gray short-tailed opossum)
Lineage: Eukaryota; Metazoa; Chordata; Mammalia; Didelphimorphia; Didelphidae
Description: lncRNA (ENSMODG00000036885.1)
Source: RNAcentral